GACGAACGCUGGCGGCGUGCUUAACACAUGCAAGUCGAACGGAAAGGCCCUGCUUUUGUGGGGUGCUCGAGUGGCGAACGUGUGAGUAACACUUGAGUAACCUGCCCUUGACUUUGGGAUAACUUCAGGAAACUGGGGCUAAUACCGUAUAGGAGCUCCUGCUGCAUGGUGGGGGUUGGAAAGUUUCGGCGGGUGUGGUUGGACUGCCGGCUUAUCAGCUGGUUGGUGGGGUAGUGGCUUACCAAGGCUUUGACGGGUAGCCGGCCUGAGAGGGUGACCGGCCACAUUGGGACUGAGAUACGGCCCAGACUCCUACGGGAGGCAGCAGUGGGGAAUAUUGAACAAUGGGCGGAAGCCUGAUGCAGCAACGCCGCGUGCGGGAUGACGGCCUUCGGGUUGUAACCCGCUUUCGCCUGUGACGAAGCGUGAGUGACGGUAAUGGGUAAAGAAGCACCGGCUAACUACGUG
RNAcentral lists this ribosomal RNA (468 nucleotides) under uncultured bacterium. RNAcentral describes it as "partial 16S ribosomal RNA". It matches the Rfam family "Bacterial small subunit ribosomal RNA", at positions 28 to 507 of the family's 1533-position model. The record is from RNAcentral.